RNAcentral lists this ribosomal RNA (468 nucleotides) under uncultured bacterium. RNAcentral's name for it is "partial 16S ribosomal RNA". It matches the Rfam family "Bacterial small subunit ribosomal RNA", at positions 28 to 507 of the family's 1533-position model. The record is from RNAcentral.
GACGAACGCUGGCGGCGUGCUUAACACAUGCAAGUCGAACGGAAAGGCCCUGCUUUUGUGGGGUGCUCGAGUGGCGAACGGGUGAGUAACACGUGAGUAACCUGCCCUUGACUUUGGGAUAACUUCAGGAAACUGGGGCUAAUACCGGAUAGGAGCUCCUGCUGCAUGGUGUGGGUUGGAAAGUUUCGGCGGGUGGGGAUGGACUCGCGGCUUAUCAGCUUGUUGGUGGGGUAGUUGCUUACCAAGGCUUUGACGGGUAGCCGGCCUGAGAGGGUGACCGGCCACAUUGGGACUGAGAUACGGGCAAGACUCCUACGGGAGGCAGCAGUGGGGAUUAUUGCAAAAUGGGCGGAAGCCUGAUGCAGCAACGCCGCGUGCGAGAUGACGGCCUUCGGGUUGUAAACCGCUUUCGCCUGUGACGAAGCGUGAGUGACGGUAAUGGGUAAAGAAGCAACGGCUAACUACGUG